Molecule: transfer RNA, 72 nt
Filed under: Bos taurus (domestic cattle)
Lineage: Eukaryota; Metazoa; Chordata; Mammalia; Artiodactyla; Bovidae
Also listed under: 4 other names
Rfam family: tRNA
About the family: Transfer RNA (tRNA) molecules are approximately 80 nucleotides in length.
Source: Rfam by way of RNAcentral
UCCCUGGUGGCUCAGACAGUAAAGCGUCUGCCUAUGAUGCGGGAGACCUGGGUUCGAUCCCUAGAUCGGGAA